RNAcentral lists this ribosomal RNA (651 nucleotides) under Triticum aestivum (bread wheat). RNAcentral describes it as "partial small subunit ribosomal RNA". The record is from RNAcentral. Lineage: Eukaryota; Viridiplantae; Streptophyta; Magnoliopsida; Poales; Poaceae.
AUGGUCCGGUGCGGUAAGACAACGGGAGCCAAAUGCAAAGUCAAUUGGAAAAUAGUUUAUAGGCCAAAGGAAUAUGGUGGCCUGGGGGUACUCAACACCGAAGAAUUUUCGCGGGCUUUACGUCUUCGUUGGCUGUGGUAUGAAUGGAAGGAGCCCCACAAGCCUUGGGUGGGGUUUGGUAACCCUUGCACCGCCGAGGACCUCGAGUUUUUCUACGCCUCUACAAUUAUCACUGUGGGUGAUGGUGCAAAAACACCGUUCUGGGACUCCCCUUGGCUAUUUGGGCGGAAACCCAUGGAUAUUGCUCCAUUAAUCUGCGAGGCUUCAAGGAGAAAGAAUUGGAAGGUGCGUGAAGCCCUCUAUGAGAAUGCAUGGAUUCUCAAAAUCAAUCCAAACAUUGUUAUCUCCAUUCGCCACAUUAGCGAAUUCUUCACUCUUUGGAUGCUUGUUCAUGACUUCCCCCUUGACGACCAAGCCGAAGACCACAUUACUUGGAAGCACGCGAACAAUGGGAUCUACUCGGCGGCCACUGCGUACAAGGCUCUGUUCCUUGGAUUGACUCUCUCUCCCAUGGACCGUAUGUUUUGGAAGGCUUGGGCACCCCCUAAGGUAAAAUUCUUUGCGUGGCUUGCCCUGCAAGACCGAAUUUGA